AGUUUGAGGACAUGUCGGCCGCGUCUUUGAGCAACGGAAGAUGGUACGCAUCUGCCGGCAGCGUCCUGGUACCAGAACUGCCCUGUCUGCAUGAGAAAUUCCGUAGCACCAUAUUUUUCUGCUGAUUGAAGGAUAUCAUUGCUGUCAGUAAAUGAUGUUACUAAUAAGAUGGCCACAUUUGGAGUGCAGUUUCUCAUGUAUGCACUAGCUGCUGAUCUACCAAGCAGUACUAUGGAAUUUAUAUAUGUGUUUUGAAAAACAUACUUUUAUCCAGCAGAUGAUUGGUAGAAGUGUUGUUAUUCUCCCAUUGUCUACUGAAUGCAUGUAUCCAUCUCUCUCAAAAUAGGGCUUAUGACAUGACUCGGGAUUCAGGAUUAGCCGUUGAAUCUCUACCAGGAGCAUCAAGGCCUCCAUUCAUUGUUGGAUCGUUUCUCUGAAUUACAUGAAGUUGAAAGAGAGAUAUGGUGCAAGCCAUCUUUGCAUCACUAUACUACAUAAGCAUGGUAUUGACCAUAGAUGCCUUUAAAAAAGCACAGUUGGGUGCAUUUGUACUUUUUAGUUGGGAUUACCUUUGUCUCUCUCGCGCGCACAAGAAGGUGUACUUAGGAACUAUCUCAUCUUUUUGGUCAUGUGUAGGAAAACGUAUUUAAAACCAUGUGGGAAGUAAUAUAAAUUUAGCACCGAUUGUUGGCUUCA
Long non-coding RNA from Lolium perenne, 696 nucleotides. RefSeq lists it as uncharacterized. The record is from RefSeq and is a predicted model, not a curated record. Lineage: Eukaryota; Viridiplantae; Streptophyta; Magnoliopsida; Poales; Poaceae.